UGGCGAACGGGUGAGUAAUACAUCGGAACGUGUCCGCUCGUGGUGGACAACCAGCCGAAAGGUUGGCUAAUACCGCAUGAGUUCUACGGAAGAAAGAGGGGGACCCGCAAGGGCCUCUCGCGAGCGGAGCGGCCGAUGACUGAUUAGCCGGUUGGUGAGGUAACGGCUCACCAAAGCAACGAUCAGUAGCUGGUCUGAGAGGACGACCAGCCACACUGGGACUGAGACACGGCCCAGACUCCUACGGGAGGCAGCAG
This 257-nucleotide ribosomal RNA is filed under the name uncultured bacterium. RNAcentral describes it as "partial 16S ribosomal RNA". It matches the Rfam family "Bacterial small subunit ribosomal RNA", at positions 96 to 354 of the family's 1533-position model. The record is from RNAcentral.